GGAACUGAGACACGGUCCAGACUCCUACGGGAGGCAGCAGUAGGGAAUCUUCCGCAAUGGGCGAAAGCCUGACGGAGCAACGCCGCGUGAGUGAUGAAGGUCUUCGGAUCGUAAAACUCUGUUAUUAGGGAAGAACAUAUGUGUAAGUAACUGUGCACAUCUUGACGGUACCUAAUCAGAAAGCCACGGCUAACUACGUGCCAGCAGCCGCGGUAAUACGUAGGUGGCAAGCGUUAUCCGGAAUUAUUGGGCGUAAAGCGCGCGUAGGCGGUUUUUUAAGUCUGAUGUGAAAGCCCACGGCUCAACCGUGGAGGGUCAUUGGAAACUGGAAAACUUGAGUGCAGAAGAGGAAAGUGGAAUUCCAUGUGUAGCGGUGAAAUGCGCAGAGAUAUGGAGGAACACCAGUGGCGAAGGCGACUUUCUGGUCUGUAACUGACGCUGAUGUGCGAAAGCGUGGGGAUCAAACAGGAUUAGAUACCCUGGUAGUCCACGCCGUAAACGAUGAGUGCUAAGUGUUAGGGGGUUUCCGCCCCUUAGUGCUGCAGCUAACGCAUUAAGCACUCCGCCUGGGGAGUACGACCGCAAGGUUGAA
Molecule: ribosomal RNA, 592 nt
Filed under: Staphylococcus aureus
Lineage: Bacteria; Bacillati; Bacillota; Bacilli; Caryophanales; Staphylococcaceae
Description: bacterial SSU rRNA
Rfam family: Bacterial small subunit ribosomal RNA
Source: RNAcentral